RNAcentral lists this non-coding RNA (46 nucleotides) under Schistosoma mansoni. Lineage: Eukaryota; Metazoa; Platyhelminthes; Trematoda; Strigeidida; Schistosomatidae. The record is from RNAcentral.
GCACUGCUGAGGAGUCCCACAAUAGGACGAAACGGCCGGUCAGUGC